GACGAACGCUGGCGGCGUGCUUAACACAUGCAAGUCGAGGGGGAGUAGGGGCAACUCUACUUCACCGGCGAACGGGUGCGUAACACGUGAGCGACCUACCCUGGUGUGGGGGAUAGCCGGCCCAACGGCCGGGUAAUACCGCAUACGCUCUGUGAGGGGCAUCCCUUGGAGAGCAAAGCUGUGGGGCAACUCACGGCGCAUUGGGAGGGGCUCGCGGCCUAUCAGCUAGUUGGCGAGGUAACGGCUCACCAAGGCGACGACGGGUAGCUGGUCUGAGAGGAUGGCCAGCCACAUUGGGACUGAGAGACGGCCCAGACUCCUACGGGAGGCAGCAGUGGGGAAUCUUGCGCAACGGGCGAAAGCCUGACGCAGCGACGCCGCGUGCGGGA
RNAcentral lists this ribosomal RNA (389 nucleotides) under uncultured bacterium. RNAcentral describes it as "bacterial SSU rRNA". It matches the Rfam family "Bacterial small subunit ribosomal RNA", at positions 28 to 408 of the family's 1533-position model. The record is from RNAcentral.